RNAcentral lists this transfer RNA (71 nucleotides) under Bipalium vagum. Its description in RNAcentral is "tRNA-Ile". The record is from RNAcentral. Lineage: Eukaryota; Metazoa; Platyhelminthes; Tricladida; Geoplanidae.
AAUAUAAGGACUGCGAAAAUGUAGAUUACUGCGAUAUAGUAAGUUUUAGAAAGUUUAAUUUCUCUAUAUUA